Molecule: ribosomal RNA, 876 nt
Filed under: Triticum aestivum (bread wheat)
Lineage: Eukaryota; Viridiplantae; Streptophyta; Magnoliopsida; Poales; Poaceae
Description: partial small subunit ribosomal RNA
Source: RNAcentral
AUGACGGCCAGCCGCCGCCUCCUCCCGCCGUCGCCGGCGGCGCCCCUGUCGCCGCUGGAAGUGGAGGAUCUGCUCAUCGAGAUCCUCCUCCGCCUCUCUCCGCUGCCCUCGUCUCUCCCCCGCGCCUCCGCCGUCUGCAAGCGCUGGCGCCACCUCAUCUCCGACCCGGACUUCCUCGUCCGCUUCCGCCUCCACCACCGCCCCAACCCUCCCCUCCUCGGUUUCUUCGUCACGGAUUGGAUGCGCUGCCUCAUCGGCUUCCUGCCUCUUGUGCGCCCCGGCGUCCCCGAUCUCGUCCGCACCAAUUGCUUCUGCCAGAACCACCAGAUCCUCAGCUGCCGCCAUGGCCUCCUACUCAUCUUCCUCGUCAAGGAGUCCCAGUUCCAGGUGUGGGACCCCGUCACCGGCGUCCGCCACUUGAUCGACCCCCCUCCAGCACAGAGUCUGCCAGCUUGGGUCAACGGAGAGGUGCUUCGAGAUGCGAGAGACGAUGACCAUUUCAAGAUUGUUCUGGCGGAUGUUGAGGGUCCGCGAGCAAUCGCCUGCGUCUACUCGUCGGAGACCAGCAAGUGGGGUGAUCUCGUCUCAGCGGUUCUUCCACCCAGGGCUUCCAUCGGCGGCCCUCCUGCCAUGAAGUUCUCCAGGAUGAAUGCCCUGCUUGUUGAAAAAUCUCUUUAUUGGCUUCUCUUUGACGUGCCGACGAACUUUAGUGAGGCCUUCAGGGGCGUUCUUUGUGCAAGUAGCAUCCUUGAAUUUGAUGUGGAGAGGCAGAGCCUAAGCGUGGAUCGUGUGCCAGCAAACCUACACCACCCCAAAGACCAUGAGAUUUCCGUGAUCAAAGAAAGGGGUGUUGGACUUUGUUUACUCAUCGUGUGA